GCACGCGCACAUGAGUGCAGGUAUCCACAGAGGCCAGAGGAGUUGGGAACCAAACUCAGGUCCUUUGGAAGAGCUGUAUGUGCUCCUAACUGUUGAACCGGUUGUCAUGUUUGCAGUGCCAUUGAGGUCAGAGGAGGGCAUCAGAUCCCCUGAACUCCAGAUGGUUAUGAGCAGCCACGCGUGCCCGGGGAAUUGAUCCCUGCUUCCUUGGAAGGCCAGGCGACUGCUCUUAACCGCAGAGCCAUCUCUUCAGCCACAAAAGUUGCUUUCUUUCUUUUUUUUUCUUUUCUUUUUUUCGGAGCUGGGGACCGAACCCAGGGCCUUGCGCUUGCUAGGCAAACGCUCUACCACUGAGCUAAAUCCCCAACCCCCAAAAGUUGCUUUCUUAACCAAUAUCCCUGAAAUCAUUUUGUGACGCCACCUCCCUUCCCAACUACCCACUCCAACUUUCUUCUAUUUCUUUUGCAGAGUUUGGGAUGGAACCAGGGCUUCACACUUGUUAGUCUCCCCCCUGUUAAGCCCUUUGCUUUCUUCCCCUUUUGCUUGUUUAGUUUUUGAGACAAGAUUUUAUGUAACUCAGCUUAGCCUCAAAACCAAUUGUGGGCAAGGGUGGACUUGAACUUCUGACCUUCUCGUUCCAGAGAGCUAAAGGCUUUGAUUUGUAUUUGCACAAGAAAAAAACAAAACAAAACAAAAAACUAUGUUCCUGCAGUAUUUUGGUUUUCUGCCCCUGCUUGAGCCAAUUACUCACGCCACAGUGACAGAACGCACGAAUUGGCUUGUCUUACUGCUUUACAGAUCCCGCCUUAGAGCUAGUGUAAUAGCCAAAUUCAACCAAUAAGUCUCACCUGCCCAAGGACCUGGUCACUUCCUGGAAUGGUGGGAGUUGUAGUUCUUGGAAAAUAACAAAGCCACACGGAACUACCUGUGAUUUUGGCCGAAUGGUUUUGUCCUGGAAAAGACCAUACGACCUGUAUCUUGUUGCCACUCAGUGGGAAUCAGGGGUGGACCUGAACAGAGUCCAUUUUUCCUGGUCAGUACUUAGUUAAAGCUUGCUUCAAAUUUGGCUCAAAAUUGUGGAUUGGUUUUUCUCUUGAGAAUCUCAGGAUUAACACCAGUUUCUAAACCACAUAGUCUUUCAAAUGGAAACCAAGAAUCUCUGGGAUGGGAGAAGUUGAACGCUGAUGAAGGAAUCAGAGUCGUGUGUGGUGGAGCUGGGAAGCGUUGGGCUCAGCAUGGAAGCCGAGAAAACUCACUUGAGAUGGACGGACGGACGUUAAAAAUGAAAGCCUUAUUUUCUGAGUGCUCAGGGAGGUGGCCAGUUCUGGAUCUGAACCUUGGCCCUGGAAAGGGGUUGGGGAUGGGGAACUGCAGUGUUAUCCAACUGUAUUUUGUUUGGCAUUAUGGGCUGAGCAAGGGAAUGUCCGUUGGAGACUGGGCUAUAUCAAUAGCACCUGGUUUCAAGGUCCUUAAUUUCACUUUUGCAGUCAGGUCCCCUCCUGGACUUUGACCUGGAAUUUUAGAAUGAUAAGUGAAUGAAAGAGCGGGCAAGCUGCGUGCAGUCAACUAGGGCAUAGCAGGCAACUGGUUAUAUGGUUUUAUAACUUAUGCACCUUGGUCUAGAUAGUAGCAAUUUCUAUAUUCUUUACUGGUUAGCAGACAAUUAAAAUAUUUGGAGUAAAGGGAUAGGCGUUAAUUCCUAGGCCUGGGAACAAGAACUUCUUUGGCCCUACUAGCAAGAUAGAGAAGUUGUCCUGGAGAUAUCUGGACUCAGACAGCUGUCUCCUUUCAAGUUGUCCCUGAAAUGUCUGGACUCUGACAACUGUUUGUGACAGAAGCUGUUCAACUACAGGGAAGUCCCCAGCUCCCUUAGGGCCUGGGACCAUGAGUUUUGUUUCUCCCUGUGGUUAAAUGGAGUCUGAAGACGAAAUGGCAGCACUUAGGAUACGUUUCUUUUGCUUGUUUCCAACAGGAACAAAACUUGGUUGACGAGCCCUUACCUGGUGCGGACAAGGACUUGGCGUCUAUCCUGAGCAAUGAAAAAGCUGACGGUCAAAAACAAAGAAAAACUGUGAUGUGUCUCAUCCCCUCAGCCACUACCAAGCACAGCAGACCUAGUGCAGAACCUCAAGCAGAGGCAGGGGCAGGACACACUUUCUGUUCUGAGGUAGCACCUGCCACUAUGUAUGACACCUGCCCCAGUCACACAACAGACCUCCCCCCCUUUAUUCUUCUCUUCUCACCUUUCAUUUCCUUGUUUCCCUCCCUUCCUCUGCUCUCCUCCUGUCCCCUCUCCUCUUCCCUUUCUUUUUGUUUCCUUUCUCCUUCUUCCCCAUCCUCCUCUUCCCCAUGCUCCUCUUCUCCUCCUCUUUUCAAGUGGAAGCACAGGGCAGUUUUAUUAAGGAUUAUUAGAAAAAUCCUAAGGCUGGCAGACUGUAAACACCAGCAGCUUCCUAGAAGGGGAUGGAAGAGAGAAAGGAAAAGACAAUGCCAUUAAAUUGUCAUGGAGAUCAGCCACAGGAUGGAUAAGGAGGCUCACGGUGGGGAAGGAAGCUUUAAAGAGGGAGCAAAGAUGCCCAAAAUGUUGGGAGAAAGCCCAAGGUGUCACAGAAAACAUGAUUAGAAGAAAAAUGGAAGAAAAGGAAUAAUUGAGAAAAGCAGGCAGAUUUAUGACCUAUUUAUGGCCUACAGUUUUUUUUUUUUAUUUUUAAUACUGUCCCAUGUAAUCUAGGCUGUCUAUGAACUCUAUAUGUAGCUGAGGCUGCCCUUGAACUUCUGAAGAUUCCAUUUCUACCAAGUUCAAGGAUUGCAGGAUUGUGCUACCACACCCAACUGAUGCUCUCUUGUUAGAAACAAAACAAAACACAAUUCUCACCUCAAAAGGGAUAAGAGAUAGCUUAUUCCAAAGCCAAAUAUGGAUUACCAUGGCCUGGGAACACAUAUUUAGGUUAUUCCAAAUUCUGUUUUCCAACAUGGAGACAGUUUUAUGAAGUUUUUAUAGAAACAAAACAAAAAAAAUCAGAAAUCAAGAUACUUCAAAAAUGCAUUGAUGAAAGCAUUAGGUAGGCGGGUUAAAGAAUGGCACGGAAACCUGCUAUUGGUCUUACACACUGUCUGAUGACAUUCUUAGCCUUUUGAUUGGUGGAAACUAUGGUUUUGUUAAGUUACUUGAUUCUAACACAUGUUAUCUGUUAGUCACAGGGUGUUUGGUCAGACACAGAGGUGGGGAAUGAAUGGCUAUUUGGGGAUCUAAGGAUAGAACAGGGUAAAUUAUAAUUGAGCUCUUCAGCUGCAAUAUUUGACUCUCUUUAUAAUCAUUGAAAUUCUAGUCAGGUUCUUUCUGGGAACCUUCCCUUUCUCUCUCUUCCUCUUCUGCCUCCUCUUUUCAACAAAGUCUUGCUAUGUGAAUGGAGUGAGGACAUGACUGUUCCUAGGUGUGGCUGAGGAGAAGGCUUUAUUGUAGACAUGAGGGAGAGCAUAGCCAGAACCAUCUGGAAGAGUCCAGGCUGAGCAUGGCCAGCAAACUAGACCAGACUAUGAAAGGAAUUCUGGGAGAGAGAACAAGAAAGGAAGAGAGGAGAGAAUGAGCAAAGAAAGCACAUCGGAACCAAGAGAGCAUGUGGCCAAAAUACCAGAUGGGAAUAGGAACCAGAAACUGGGAAGAGAAACAAGGUUUGGCCUCUGGACUGGAGAGAUUUAGGUAGGGGACGGGGUGAGAAGUGUUGAGAGGAGCUGUUACAGGAUAGUGGAUAUUGGUAUUUACUGAAAAAAACCUAUUUCUAGCUGUGGUGUGGCUGAGCCCUUAGCACACAUCUCUAAUCCCAAACAAUGAAGGCAAAGUUUGUUUGUAGCAGGAAGCAGCCAUGUUUGAAAGUGAUGUUAAAUUGAAUGGCAGACAAAGUGACGAAUCAGAGAAAAUUUGACAGAAUAGGAUUGCCCAACUCUCAGGAGAGAGAAAAGGGAAGCUGCUAUGCAGAGAGAGGAAGAAAGCAGUUUUACUGGAACAGUUAUAUAGGGACACAGGUUUCAGAGAGAGAGAGAGAGAGAGAGAGAGAGAGAGAGAGAGAGAGAGAGAGAGAACAAGCUAGACACAGGUGAAGACAGAAUGAGCCAGAGAAUGAGAAGGAAUCAAAAGAUGAGAAGAUUAGAACAGAUUGCUAAACAAUAUACUUGACUUCAGCCAGAUACAUGGCUACUUAGAAUAAAGAAUGAGGAGCUGGAGAGAUGGCUCAGCCGGUUAAGAGCACUGGCUGCUCUUCCAGAGGUCCUGAGUUCAAAUCCCAGCAACCACAUGGUGGCUCACAACCAUCUGUCAUGGGAUCUGAUGCCCUCUUCUGGUGUGUCUGAAGACAGUUACAGUGUACUCAUAUUUAAUAAAUAAAUAUUAAAAAAAAAGAAUAAAGAAUGAAUUUUCCAGUCUCCCUGACAGUAAAA
Molecule: non-coding RNA, 4434 nt
Organism: Rattus norvegicus (Norway rat)
Lineage: Eukaryota; Metazoa; Chordata; Mammalia; Rodentia; Muridae
Source: RefSeq, a predicted model, not a curated record